CCGACAUUGACGACAAAGGGGCUGUGCCAGAUUCUCUACCUGAAGCAGUAGUUGAGGUGAAACAGGAGGACAAUGGGGCAGUGCCAGAUUCUCUACCUGAAGCAAUUGAGGUGAAACAGGAGAUCAAUGGGGCAGUGCCAGAUUCUCUACCUGAAGCAGUUGAGGUGAAACAGGAGGACGAUGGGGCAGUGCCAGAUUCUCUACCUGAUGCCAACAAUGAUGGCAAAGGUUUUUCAAUUCAUAAACUAAUUAUGAUUUUUUCCUGGCACACACUUGUUUUCCUUAAUAAAUUUGGUAUUUUGAUACUGCAUUUGUUUACUGUCCUCUAGGUUUGGCCUACUUGUUGAUUACUGUUGAGUUUAUGUUAUUAUCGCGUGUCUACAUAUAGGAUCAUAUAUUGUGUGGUUGAGAUG
RNAcentral lists this long non-coding RNA (413 nucleotides) under Lotus japonicus. Its description in RNAcentral is "long non-coding RNA (LJAP_LNC002246)". The record is from RNAcentral. Lineage: Eukaryota; Viridiplantae; Streptophyta; Magnoliopsida; Fabales; Fabaceae.